RNAcentral lists this ribosomal RNA (460 nucleotides) under uncultured bacterium. Its description in RNAcentral is "partial 16S ribosomal RNA". It matches the Rfam family "Bacterial small subunit ribosomal RNA", at positions 338 to 795 of the family's 1533-position model. The record is from RNAcentral.
CCUACGGGGGGCAGCAGUGAGGAAUAUUGGUCAAUGGGCGCGAGCCUGAACCAGCCAAGUCGCGUGAGGGAGGACGGCCCUACGGGUUGUAAACCUCUUUUGCCGGGGAGCGACGGGCGGCACGUGUGGCGCCACUGAGAGUACCCGGAGAAAAAGCAUCGGCUAACUCCGUGCCAGCAGCCGCGGUAAUACGGAGGAUGCGAGCGUUAUCCGGAUUUAUUGGGUUUAAAGGGUGCGUAGGCGGAUCAUCAAGUCAGCGGUAAAAUUGAGAGGCUCAACCCCUUCGAGCCGUUGAAACUGGCGUUCUUGAGUGUAUGAGAAGUAUGCGGAAUGCGUGGUGUAGCGGUGAAAUGCAUAGAUAUCACGCAGAACUCCGAUUGCGAAGGCAGCAUGCCGGCGCUCAACUGACGCUGAUGCACGAAAGUGUGGGUAUCGAACAGGAUUAGAUACCCGUGUAGUC